AGAAACUUGGAUGGAGUCCAUUUGUCGUGGAGAUCUGCUGUUGGGAAAGUUCGGCCACUGACGAACUGACGAAGUUCUGGAAGAAAUUCGGAUUGGAGUCGAUCGAAUCCUGUUGGAAAAGAUCUGGAAGAGGUCCGGAGAACAGUUGACCCUUGUAGGAAGUUGGCCGAUAGUAGAAUCUAGAGAGCACUUGGAGUAGCCUGAUAGA
This 208-nucleotide long non-coding RNA is filed under the name Elaeis guineensis (African oil palm). RNAcentral describes it as "long non-coding RNA (EGUI_LNC080875)". Lineage: Eukaryota; Viridiplantae; Streptophyta; Magnoliopsida; Arecales; Arecaceae. The record is from RNAcentral.